Molecule: unclassified non-coding RNA, 305 nt
Filed under: Hevea brasiliensis (rubber tree)
Lineage: Eukaryota; Viridiplantae; Streptophyta; Magnoliopsida; Malpighiales; Euphorbiaceae
Source: RNAcentral
AUCCACAGUGGCAAGGACUUGGGAAUAUGGCUAAGAUCGAAUUCAGGAGGCUUCCUUUGACCGUAGACUCUCAGAUUCUUUAGCAAUCCAUAGUCAUACCUGGAAAAAGUACCCUUCCGGAUCAUCUGGAAAAGAUGGUGCAGAUUUUUUGCUGAAGAUGGAUGUGGUUCAUAUUCGAAAAAUAAGUCAAAACGUGAGCGAUUAAGGCAACAAUUUUCCCCUGUUAUUGAACUUAGAACAUUGAUGCAGUUAACCAGCCGAUCACAAAGAUUAUCUAAAAGGACUGUUCCCCAAUCGCUUUUAAA